Molecule: long non-coding RNA, 2421 nt
Organism: Carya illinoinensis
Lineage: Eukaryota; Viridiplantae; Streptophyta; Magnoliopsida; Fagales; Juglandaceae
Exons: 3
Source: RefSeq, a predicted model, not a curated record
GCUUGAAGCUAACGGCUAGAAAAUUUAAAAUUUAACUACAGAGAACGGAGGUUGGAUUUCUCAUUUCAUUUCAUGUCUAUUCAGCCGUUGUAUACUCUUAUAAAAUAUAUACUCCAAAAUUGAAAAGUCCAUGUAUGUAGAGAGAAAUACAGUGACUCGAGAGAAGAAUCAAUAGAAUCAGAUAGAGAGAUAGAGAGAGAGUGCUAUGAAAAUGUCAGAGCAUACGAUAUUAUAGGCACUGAGAGAUGAGCGGAGAGACGGAAAGAAUUGAGAUGAUGAUGCACAGCGGGAACAACGGUUAUGGAAACGGGGUGAUGACGUCGGCAUCGGCAGCGACGACGCCCGUGGCCAUGACGUUGUCUUCAUCCUCGACAAAUGCGCAAUCUCGGGGGCAUAAGACGUACUUAAAGAACCCCGAGGGACGGCACAAGCUCUAUUUGUUUUUAUUUUUCUUUUUGAUGUUUCUGUUUUGGGAUUUCUUGUUCCUCUGCAGCAGUCCAGAGGUGUUUUUGUCUCCCUUGCAAGGUUCACGCAAAUUCUCUCUCUCUCUCUCUCUCUCUCUCAAAGUCACCUACUCGUCUAACAAUUUUGCCUUGCAAGAAACCGGCUCAUGCACAAGCAGAAGGAUAAAAGAAGGGAAAAAACAAAAGAGUAGACACCGUAGCUGUUAAUGGGCAGUGAUAAGAAAAAGCCUUGCUGCAACGAUAUUGGAGGUACCUCCAAAGAGUGUACUGGAGAGACCCAAUCCCAAGGAGGUAAGGUGAUUCAUUGUUCAUUCCUGUUCAUCAGAGUUAUUCUGUGAUUGGUUAGGGUUUGGUGAAAUACAGUUCUGGGAAAGAGAUUGAAAAAUAUGGGUUCAUUUAUUUUUAUUCUUUGCGACUUUUGUUACGUUCUGUUUGAUUGGUGAGAAGUGUCGGAAAGUUUAUGGAAUGCAAAUUUUGCCACUUUUGGUGUCAAAGAAAACAGAAUGCUGGCAUGACAAUGCCUAAUGACUGGGAGCUAUAAUUAUAUGAUAGUAGAUUGUAGUACUACACGUCUAAUGGUCAAUGUUUCAAAGAAAGAGCACGCUUGGAAAGUAUGACAUGUAGGAGCUCAUAGGAACAUUUUAUAUGUGGCUUUUAAUUUAUAUAUAAAAAGUGGCUUCAUACAUAUUGAUCACUGUCAAUGAGAAUGGUAAUUUAUGAGCUUGUGUUUUUUAUGUAACUAACUAAUGAUUGUGAAUUAUUGAUCCUCGGUUCAUGCAAGUAUCUGAACCCAUAGAUUGGGAGUACUAUAGAAAAGAAAUUGGGUCUCGCUUGGUGGAUAUGUACAAAGAGGCUUAUGACAGUUUGUUUUCUAACUCACUGGUGAAUGCACCCACCAUGUAUCUCAGUUUUAUGGGGCUACUUUCUGUUAUUAGAGUUGCAUAAUCCUUAAGAGUUCCUGUACAAUGAAGGUGUACCACAUAUUGAUUUCUGCUUGUAGUAUAACUAUUUGCAUGUCUCUGCAAAAAAAGGAAAAAAGGAAAGUGAAUCAAAAUCCUUGUAAUUGGAGCUCAAAUUGGCUGUAAAACAGCUUAUGCAUGUAAAUAGAUAGGAUAUGUUAGGGAAUAUGUACGAGGCCCCUUUUUUUAUCGUUCACAAAGCAAGUUCAUUAUUAUGCUGAUUAUUGCUGCCAGAUUAGCAGAGAAACCUUCUUGAACUCAAUUAAAAUUUAGAUUAGUAGUGUUGAUUCCGCACUUAUUGUGAUAAGUAAACGGCUACAUCAAACUCCGAGGGACAUAUAGGUUUACCAUGAGGCAAGUUCUUGAGAGAUUUUCUUUUUGAUCGAUAGAUAAGAAUAUUAUUGAUGAGAGAUAUAGGCAUAGCCUAAAUACACAGGACUUUCUUGAGAGAUUUUCUGAAGCUGGAGUAUGUUUAGUUGUGAACAUAUACGCAGCUGGAAUUGAUUUGUAAGUGAAUCUAUUGGUCUCAAAUACCAGAUACCAAAUGAUUUGUCCCGCUAGGUACUGUCUUGCUUCAUGUCUAUUUGAAAUUGCCUUUUAAUGAAAAUGGUUCACUUUUCUUGAGUUUUUAUUAAUCCAUAUUCCAAUCUCCAAUUGUUUCAAAUUUACUCAAGAAGAAUAGUGUUCCAAGUUUGUAGACAUAGAGUUCCCCAGGUAUGCAGUCACAGUAACUCCUCAAAACGAGCCUAAAUUUGAUGCACUCGUGAGAACUUACUCAAGAUCAAAUUGCUUGACACCCUCUCCCUCUCUCUAAAAAUAUUGACAUCUGAUACAGUUGGUGGAAUUGUAAGAAGCAGAAGAGAAAUCCUUGAAGGAGUCUGAGCAUCUGGAAAACGAAAUUGUUGGAGUACAAGAGAUGAAAUCUGGUAUCACUUAUUGUGGAUUUUGGGAUUAUAAAAAUGUAUUUAUACAUUUUUUUUUUGGGGGGGGGGGUCAGU